This 158-nucleotide ribosomal RNA is filed under the name Fusarium solani. Its description in RNAcentral is "5.8S ribosomal RNA". It matches the Rfam family "5.8S ribosomal RNA". Rfam says of the family: 5.8S ribosomal RNA (5.8S rRNA) is a component of the large subunit of the eukaryotic ribosome. It is transcribed by RNA polymerase I as part of the 45S precursor that also contains 18S and 28S rRNA. Lineage: Eukaryota; Fungi; Ascomycota; Sordariomycetes; Hypocreales; Nectriaceae. The record is from RNAcentral.
UAAAUUAAAACUUUCAACAACGGAUCUCUUGGCUCUGGCAUCGAUGAAGAACGCAGCGAAAUGCGAUAAGUAAUGUGAAUUGCAGAAUUCAGUGAAUCAUCGAAUCUUUGAACGCACAUUGCGCCCGCCAGUAUUCUGGCGGGCAUGCCUGUUCGAGC